UCCUUCUUAGCUCAGCGGUAGAGCGCGUCACUAGUAUUCGCAUUGCGCAGGCUAUGACGAGGUCAGUCGUUCAAAUCGGCUAGGAGGAA
This is a non-coding RNA of Crassisporium funariophilum, 89 nucleotides long. The record is from the annotation of a GenBank genome assembly. NCBI's taxonomy places the organism in Eukaryota, Fungi, Basidiomycota, Agaricomycetes, Agaricales, Crassisporiaceae.